Molecule: unclassified non-coding RNA, 886 nt
Filed under: Hevea brasiliensis (rubber tree)
Lineage: Eukaryota; Viridiplantae; Streptophyta; Magnoliopsida; Malpighiales; Euphorbiaceae
Source: RNAcentral
UUAAUUAAGUUGCGACACUUAUACAUAUACAACCACUUUUUGCUAAGAUAGUACUAAACAUGAUCAUUAAUUACACAAUAUUCUACAGCCAAACCUAUAAUAUUAACAUAAAUAGACAUAUGUUUAUAUAUUUAAUAUUCAUAUAUAAUAACAUCGAUCUCAUACAUGUCGAAGAUAUAUCUAAGACCUUUCUUCCCAACAACAUAAUUAAUCAUGACAUAAAUAAAUAGUGUAGCCAUUUUCUCUAAUAUUAUGAGAAGAAUAGCUAGAACACACUAAAAUACUAUAUACAUACAUGCUUAAGGUAUCCCGAUAAUGGGGAGAACAGGGACAUAGUAGCUAGUUGGUGCAAUUCCCCAUUCUUUUGGCAAUGGUAGAUCAAUAGUCUUAGAUGAACCAAACUCAUCAUGACAUUUUCCUUUAGCACUCUUGUUGGAUGAAGGGCAUUUUGUGUAGAACUUUAAAGGGUUAGAGAUAGUGUAGGAGUUAUCAUCUUCUUGAGACUUGACAAUAUUGGGGUCUGUUUCAAUUCUUGAAACAAAGAGCUGAUUAGGACCUCCAAGGAUCUUGGCAUAGCAUUUGUUUGGUGGAGUAGAAGGAAGUUUUGUUUCAAAAGAGCCAUCUUCUUCUGUUGUAGCCAUAGCCAAUCUUUUCACCUGACUACACUUCACUAAAACUUCUAUUCCUGAGAGAUCGUUAUGUUGACUGCAGUCUAGGCAAGUAACAGAACCCUUCAAGACAUAGCAAGACGAUAACUGAAGUGUGGCAAGAACCAAAGUGAUGAAGAGUGGAAAACCAAGCUGAUAUGAUGCCAUCUGAUUAAGCUUGUGUUAAUUAGCUAUAGCAUACAGUAUAGACUAUAGAGUGUAGUGAAAAUAAUUCUAAG